CCUACGGGGGGCUGCAGUGGGGAAUCUUGCGCAAUGCGCGAAAGCGUGACGCAGCAACGCCGCGUGGAGGAAGACGGCCUUCGGGUUGUAAACUCCUUUCAGUUGGGACGAAGCUUCACUGGUUAAGAGCUGGUUGGAGUGACGGUACCUUCAGAAGAAGCCCCGGCUAACUACGUGCCAGCAGCCGCGGUAAUACGUAGGGGGCAAGCGUUGUCCGGAAUCAUUGGGCGUAAAGCGCGUGUAGGCGGCCUUGUAAGUCCGUUCUGAAAGCCCGG
RNAcentral lists this ribosomal RNA (275 nucleotides) under uncultured Conexibacter sp. RNAcentral's name for it is "partial 16S ribosomal RNA". It matches the Rfam family "Bacterial small subunit ribosomal RNA", at positions 338 to 605 of the family's 1533-position model. Lineage: Bacteria; Bacillati; Actinomycetota; Thermoleophilia; Solirubrobacterales; Conexibacteraceae. The record is from RNAcentral.